AAAAACAUGUCCUUUUGUAUAAAUAUAAGGUCUGACCUGCCCAAUGAUUUAAUUUAAUGGCCGCGGUAUAUUAACUGUGCUAAGGUAGCAUAAUCAUUUGUCUUUUAAUUAAAGGCUAGAAUGAAUGGUUGGACGAAACAUUAGCUUUCUUUAACUUAAUUUAUGAACUUAAUUUUUUAGUUAAAAAGCUGAAAUUUAUUUGAGGGACGAGAAGACCCUAUAGAUCUUUAUAUAUAAAAUUAUUAUUUAUAUUAGUAUAUAAAUUAUUAUAAUAACUUAUUGUAUUUGGUUGGGGUGACUAUAGAAUUUUUAUAACUUCUAUUAUUUAUGUCAUAAAUUAGUGUAUUUUUGAUCCAAAUUUUUUGAUUAAAAGAUUAAGUUACCUUAGGGAUAACAGCGUAAUUUUUUCGGAGAGCCCAAAUCGAUGAAAAAGUUUGCGACCUCGAUGUUGGAUUAAAAUAAGUUUUAGGUGUAGAAGUUUAAAAACUAGGUCUGUUCGACCUUUAAUUUUUUACAUGAUCUGAGUU
RNAcentral lists this ribosomal RNA (527 nucleotides) under Atrachelus sp. 00051668. RNAcentral describes it as "partial 16S ribosomal RNA". It matches the Rfam family "Bacterial large subunit ribosomal RNA", at positions 1809 to 2611 of the family's 2925-position model. The record is from RNAcentral. Lineage: Eukaryota; Metazoa; Arthropoda; Insecta; Hemiptera; Reduviidae.